This 253-nucleotide ribosomal RNA is filed under the name uncultured bacterium. Its description in RNAcentral is "partial 16S ribosomal RNA". It matches the Rfam family "Bacterial small subunit ribosomal RNA", at positions 524 to 776 of the family's 1533-position model. The record is from RNAcentral.
UACGUAGGGUGCGAGCGUUAAUCGGAAUUACUGGGCGUAAAGCGUGCGCAGGCGGUUCGUUGUGUCGGCGGUGAAAGCCCCGGGCUCAACCUGGGAAUGGCCGUUGGGACUGCAAGGCUUGAGUGCGGCAGAGGAGACUGGAAUUCCUGGUGUAGCAGUGAAAUGCGUAGAUAUCAGGAGGAACACCGAUGGCGAAGGCAGGUCUCUGGGCCGUUACUGACGCUGAGGAGCGAAAGCGUGGGGAGCGAACAGG